AUUUAAAACAACGAAGCAUACGGAUUUUAGGCCCAGUGGAAUAACGUGGCGUGGAAGCAACGCGGAUAGACUUUAAAGUAAAGGAGUAGCCGUUGCCGUUGGAUGUUUUGGAAAAUGUGAAAAGUCGUGUGGACCUGAUUUUUUUUUUCUUUUCUUUCUACUUUUGUCAGUCAUUAAAAAUAUAUUAAUAAAUAAAUGCAAAAAAAGUUAAUGCGACGCGUCUUUAUCAUGUGGAAGAAUCUUUUUUCAAAUCGAGGAGCGUCACGUGAUAACGCGUCCUUUGCUUUUUAUUUUUUAUUUGAAAUUCAAAAAAAGAAUAAUAAAGAUAUAUUUAUAUAAUUGUGGAUGUGAAAGAAGAACUACUACUACACAGAGAGAUUUUUUUAUGAGGCUGAGAAAAUUAUUGGCGUGAGAGACUUGGUAGAAAUCUGGGUUUGUUUGGACACAGAUUUAGGACUAUUCUUCUUCCGAGUCCGCCCAUGCCAAUAAUUUCCUCCGUCUUUUUCUUUCCUUUUUUUCACCAAAAUUUAGACUCAAUUAAUUUCUCUUUUCCCUUCCUCCACCAUCUGGUGUAUUUCUUUUCUCACUAAAAGGAUGGAAGAGGGAAAGGCUUAAGAGUGUGGGUGGAAGUGAUAGGUAUGGGGGGUUAGGACAGAGAGAAAUACUCUCUUCUCCCCAAUUUAUUUUUUUUAAUUGGGGGGAAGGGAAUGAAUUCUUUCCUACCCCUCCCAUACCAUUCAUUUCCAUCCUUUCCUUCCUUUCCCUUCCCUUCUCUCGCUAUUGUGUUUUUUUGUUUUGGGUGUGUUUUUUUCUCCCAAUCUGAGAUCGGACAAGAAGGAAAGGAAGUGAAAGAAAGACCAUAUCCAAUUCCUAGGUGCUCCAGAAGAGAAACAUGGCUUUUCGUUUCUUAAAUCCUGGUUCAACCUUGAUAAUGAUGAUUUGUAUCAUCUGUGCCAUGCAAUUGCUUCUAGUUCUCGUUAAUGGAGAAGAAAAUGUGAGAAAGUUUGGAUUAUUUGGAAGGCCACACCCAUCUCCUCCUCCUCCUCCAACUGGGGGACUGAUGCAUGGAAUGUUGCCGCCUGAAGCUUUCAACGCAAGUUCAUCAUCACCACCUCCACCAUACUAGUCCCUAAAGAACAUAUAUUUUAUGAUUCUCGAUGAUCAUUUUGUUGGUGGUCACUGUCUGAUGCAUUGAGAUUCAAUGGAAUAAUAAUAAAAGUUGUUAUAUUUUAUUAGAAUAUCAGAUUAUUUUUCUGUUGUGAACCAAAGUAAUUAAUGUUAUAUAUGCACAAUAAAAUAAAUAUGUAAACUAGCUGUGUAUGUGUGCAAAUAAGAAUACUAUUCUAUAAAUUUCUGAAGGUCUUCCUUUUAUUUUA
Long non-coding RNA from Ziziphus jujuba (common jujube), 1376 nucleotides. RefSeq lists it as uncharacterized. The transcript is spliced from 3 exons. The record is from RefSeq and is a predicted model, not a curated record. NCBI's taxonomy places the organism in Eukaryota, Viridiplantae, Streptophyta, Magnoliopsida, Rosales, Rhamnaceae.